UUCUGUCUGAAGAGUCCCUAAAAGGACGAAACGCGUGUCAUAGAU
This 45-nucleotide non-coding RNA is filed under the name Trichobilharzia regenti. The record is from RNAcentral. Lineage: Eukaryota; Metazoa; Platyhelminthes; Trematoda; Strigeidida; Schistosomatidae.